Molecule: ribosomal RNA, 253 nt
Filed under: uncultured bacterium
Lineage: Bacteria
Description: partial 16S ribosomal RNA
Rfam family: Bacterial small subunit ribosomal RNA
Source: RNAcentral
UACGUAGGAUGCAAGCGUUGUCCGGAUUUAUUGGGUUUAAAGGGUGCGUAUGCGGCCUAUUAAGUUAGUGGUGAAAACGUUCGGCUUAACCGGAUACCCGCCAUUGAUACUGAUAGACUUGAGUGCGACAGAGGGUGUUGGAAUGUGUGGUGUAGCGGUGAAAUGCUUAGAUAUCACGCAGAACACCAAUUGCGAAGGCAGAUGCCUAUGUCGUAACUGACGCUGAGGCAUGAAAGCGUGGUGAGCAAACAGG